UACAGAGGUCUCAAGCGUUGUUCGGAUUCAUUGGGCGUAAAGGGUGCGUAGGUGGCGCUGUAAGUCGGGUGUGAAAUCUCGGAGCUUAACUCCGAAACUGCAUUCGAUACUGCGGUGCUUGAGGACUGGAGAGGAGACUGGAAUUCAUGGUGUAGCAGUGAAAUGCGUAGAGAUCAUGAGGAAGACCAGUGGCGAAGGCGGGUCUCUGGACAGUUCCUGACACUGAGGCACGAAGGCCAGGGGAGCAAACGGG
Molecule: ribosomal RNA, 253 nt
Filed under: uncultured bacterium
Lineage: Bacteria
Description: partial 16S ribosomal RNA
Rfam family: Bacterial small subunit ribosomal RNA
Source: RNAcentral